UAUUAACUAGUUCGAAAGCUAUAAAAGAGACACCACCUACGCAUUUUAGAACUCAUCACCAUCAUAUUACAGAAGCCCGCUUACCAUAUACGCUACCGGCGCAUCUUAGAGUACGCCACCGGAAUGCUGAUCUUAACUGCCUCGGUGACGAUGUCCGAUGAAAACCCAAAACCCUGCUUAAGUCUUCCGCUGAUCUGUCUGCAGUUUUCCAGAAAGAACUUGUUGGUAAUCAAUUUUUCCGGCGACCAGGUAUCUGUUGCUAUAGGCAUUGGGACCUUCUAUGUGAAGGUGGAUGACGAUGGAUGUGGUGUUUCACGAGAUGGACUGGUGCUGAUGGGAGAAAAGUAUGGUUCCAUGUUAUUUUUGUGCGUCAAUCUAACUGAUGUUGAUCUUUUAGAAUUGCUUCAACAGGUACUUCUAGCCCAGCUUAUGGAGACAUUGACAGAAGGUGCAUUUCAGUUUCGCUGAAACAGGUCUAGUGUUUCACACGCCGCCUCCAUGUUUUAUUGUAAUUCAGGAGUCAGACAAAGGAUACUGGCAUGUACCAACUGCCUCACAACUUGAAUCUGAAGAGGAAAGGACGUGGUUGUGCAUUAGGCGUGCCAAUUCACCUUUGGCAAAUCAAAACUCUGCCAGUGUAAACAUAUGAGUUACAUUCUUAGAAGUUGGUGUAUCUAAUAUUCUACCAUCCAAACAACUGAUGUGCAACAUCUUCGAGAUUAGAAGACGAUUAAAAUCCUCAUUGUGGUCUAUCUAAAUCUAAAGAGCAUGCAGAAGUUGCAACAGCAGAAGAAACCCACAGAUUGUGUUGUUGUGGUUGAAGAGCUAUGGUGGAAAGCUUCGAAUUUUUCAGCUCUCAAAAGAACGGGCCUGUGUCAUUCUUCAAUGUAUAGAAUCAGAAGUUGUUUUCUUGCGGUAAGCUGAAGCACGUAAAAGAGUUACCAAGGUGGAAAUAGGCUGUCAGAACAUGAGAAGCUUCAAAAACUUGUUUUAAGUUGCACAUAAUAUUGCUUAGUAUAAGUAAAACCUAUACUUUAGAUCCAAAGUAUAUGUGAACUUAAACAUUUAUUAACAAAUGUGUAUGCAUUAGUAUAUUUGUCAGAUCAAUAUUUGCCUAAGUAGAAGUGAAAAAAACAGUAGGCGGAGAAUCUGCAAAAUCAAUUGAUGUAUGCUAUUUUUGGGCGACUUAAAUAAGAUAGAGUUGCAGAAUGCUUUUCAUCUUUAUAGUUGAAUUGGAUGUCGUUGGAUUAAAUUAAUUCAAUUUCCUUUUGCUCUGUGUCUAUUGUGAAAGUUAGUUUUGUAUAAUUGUAUAAAUGUAAGUUGCAGUGUUGGGCCCAUGCUAAGCACGGCCACAUGCCAUCUAAUUUGGAAAGAAAUAUGACGUUAAUAGUGUGGCCAAUGAACCUCUCGUGUGGUCCAGGGAUGUCAAUGUUUCAGACUCCUCCAUUCUUGGAUAUCCAAGACUGCAUUUGGUGUUCCAAACAAUUCACACUUUUGCACCCCAAGAUUUGAUUCCUAUUCCUUUGGCCAACCAGCAGUAUCCAUGUCAGAGAGCAAAGGCUUACAUUAGUGUCCUUUUUCUCAUGUAUAGGAGCAGAUGCUAUAAGAUUAUAUAAUGUUCAAUGUGCAUUACUAUAUGAUCUACAUCGAUCUGAAAUCCAUGUCGCUCUUUUGUUAAAUAUUAGUACCAAGUACUAUUUGUUCUUAUUUUAUAUUGUUGGAUAUCCUAAGUGCUUAAUCUAAGAUCAAAUUUGCA
Solanum dulcamara is the source of this 1756-nucleotide long non-coding RNA. RefSeq lists it as uncharacterized. NCBI's taxonomy places the organism in Eukaryota, Viridiplantae, Streptophyta, Magnoliopsida, Solanales, Solanaceae. The transcript is spliced from 9 exons. The record is from RefSeq and is a predicted model, not a curated record.